ACCAUUCUGGAGAAAGCGAUUAUAGCCGAGGGUGGAAGUGAGGCGUUGACUCAAUACCACAAAGAGAGAAAGAAUAAGAGCAAGGGAGAGGGAACCAAGGUAGAGAAUGCCAGUGGCAAUAUGCCAAAAAGAGAGAAUUUUAACUCCGGGAAUACUAGAGUGGGACAAGGAGAUUCUAAGCGUAAGUUCAAAGUGUGUAAGACAUAUGGGAAGACUCAUCUAGGAGUCUGUCUGAAA
RNAcentral lists this long non-coding RNA (237 nucleotides) under Panax ginseng (ginseng). Its description in RNAcentral is "long non-coding RNA (PGIN_LNC002541)". The record is from RNAcentral. Lineage: Eukaryota; Viridiplantae; Streptophyta; Magnoliopsida; Apiales; Araliaceae.